Molecule: ribosomal RNA, 452 nt
Filed under: uncultured bacterium
Lineage: Bacteria
Description: bacterial SSU rRNA
Rfam family: Bacterial small subunit ribosomal RNA
Source: RNAcentral
UACGGGAGGCAGCAGUGGGGAAUAUUGCACAAUGGGCGCAAGCCUGAUGCAGCCAUGCCGCGUGUAUGAAGAGGGCCUUCGGGUUGUAAAGUACUUUCAGUCGUGAGGAAGGUGUUAAGGUUAAUAACCUUAGCAAUUGACGUUAGCGACAGAAGAAGCACCGGCUAACUCCGUGCCAGCAGCCGCGGUAAUACGGAGGGUGCGAGCGUUAAUCGGAAUUACUGGGCGUAAAGGGCACGCAGGCGGUUAAUUAAGUUGGAUGUGAAUCCCCGGGCUUAACCUGGGAAUGGCAUUCAAGACUGGUUAGCUAGAGUCUUGUAGAGGGGGUAGAAUUCCAUGUGUAGCGGUGAAAUGCGUAGAGAUGUGGAGGAAUACCGGUGGCGAAGGCGGCCCCUGGACAAAGACUGACGCUCAUGUGCGAAAGCGUGGGGAGCAAACAGGGAUUAGAUACC